GGAGGAGCGGGGGCAGCCGCUGCAUCUGCCGGCCGGGCAGGAUGGUCGGCGGGUGCGAUGGAGCCGCCUGAGGGCUGGGACCCGUACGGGCGGCCGGCCCGGCGCACGCAGUGGCUGGUCAGCGCCCUGGCUUAUCAUUACGGACUGGACCGCGGCGUGGAGAACGAGAUCGUCGUGCUGGCCACCGGCCUGGACCAGUACCUGCAGGAGAUCUUCCACCACCUGGACUGCGCCGGGGAGGGCAGGAUCCCCGGUGAGGAUUUCCGCACGCUGUGCCAGGUGCUGGGGCUGGAAGAGGCGGCGGAGACGGCGGCCGAUCCCGAGGAGUGCGCGGCGCUUUGGGACGGGCUGUCGGCCGAGCUCACCUUCCGCCAGUUCCACGCUCGGCUCUGCGGCUACUUCAGCACCAAGGCGGGCAGCGCCGUGCCACGGCUGCCGCUGGGCCGGGAGAGCGAACACAUCGAGACCCAGAUCCGGCUGCGCAGCCCCCGCCGCCGCCGGAGGGACGCGGCCGGGCCGGGCUCGGGGCGGCGGGGCGGGGAGGCGGCGGAGCGGCGGGCGGCAGGGACCUGCUCUGCUGAGUGCUACGAGGAGAUCGUGGCGCUGGAGCGGGCCGAGGACCGCAUCGCUAAGCUGGAGGAGGAGAACGGCAGCCUGCGGGAGCUGGUGGAGGACAUGCGGGCCGCCCUGCAGAGCAGCGAUGCGCGAUGCCUGGCGCUGCAGGUAGGACUGCGGAAAAGCCACGCUAACCAUAAGGAAGAAGGAACCUGUUUUAUAGGGAGUAAGAAACUGUUAACACAGAACCACUCCCAGACCAAGUGCCUUCAAAGUGUCCUGAAAGAAGUAGAACUCAUCCGGAGCUCCAGGGAUGGGCAAAUCGAAGAAGCAAUUAGAUUCAAUCAAGAACUGGAACGAGAGCUGAAGAGCUCUCAGGAAGCACUAGUCAGUCUGGAAGACUGCAACCGUAACCUGAAAAGGGAGCAAGCAGAAAUGAGGAAAAAGGUAGAAGAGGCGAGACAGGCAGUCCGUAACAGCCUUGGCAAAGUGAAGGAGCUAGAAGUGAAAGCUAACGAAGUGCCACAUUUGCAAGUAUACAUUCAGCAGCUAGAAUCUGAACUGCAGCACUACAGAUCAGAAAUUGUGAAAUUCCAGCUUACUUCCAGAAGCAGCCCAGAGCAGAAAGAUGCAACAGCCUUAUCAGAUGGAUUCUGCUUUUCUGUUGUGCAACAAGACCGAACAUCUCCCACUGGCAGAGCUGGGAUUACUGAAAACGCAGACGAGCAGCUGUUCCGGGCAGUGGAGGGCCAGGCGGCCUCUGAUGAAGAGGAGGAGAAGUGGGCAGGAGACCAGCAACCUGAGACAGCCCACAUAAAGGAGAUACUGGCUAAGCUCCCUUGCUGUGGCAGUGGAUGUGAUGAAAAAAAAACGAAAAAGCUCAUGACUUACUUGGAGACCAGCAGUGCUGAUGGCUAUGAAGCUGCUGUGGAGCUAGAGGAGCGAAUCAGCCAGCUCAGUGAGCAGCUGGAGCUUAAAGGGCACGAAGUGAAGAAACUGGAAACAAAUAUGGAGGAGGUAACAGAUGAAAGGCCCGUUGCUAUCUGAACUGCAGCAAAAGGUGGAGGAAACCGAAAUGUUGAAGAUGGAGCUACAGAUGUUGGAGACUGAGAGAGUUAGGCUGUCACUGGUGGAAGAAAAGCUCAUGGAUGUUUUACAGCUUCUUCAACAGCUGCGAGACUUGAACAUAUCUAAGCGAGCCUUGGGGAAAAUCUUGCUGAGCACUUUGGAAUCCUGUCAUGACCCCCAACAUGGAAAAGCCCACCUGUUUGAAGUCCUAGAUACUCUUUACCAUGAGUUGACAGCCUGUGAAAUCUUACAAAGCCAGCCUCUGGAGAAGGCUCAGAGUCGCCAGUCCUUGACUAACCCACUGGUCAUCUCCUGCUGAGCAGCAGUGCCAGCUUCAGCCACACGACCAACUGAGCAACAGCUCUCAUUCAUUCAAACAUGGGAUGAGUCAUUAUGAUCUGCCAAAUUCAAAGUAACUCAGUAAAGGAGAAGAGUACUAGAAUGAUGAAGCCAUGACAUCAAACACCUGCUAUUUCUGGGAAGAACGUCAGUUUCUCUGCUAACAUCACGUCCUCCCUUAAGUUAAAGAGCAUUACCUUACUUAGCAGCCCAGCCAUCCUUGCACAAUGGCCCUGGAGCUGAAGUGGUUAACCAAAUAAAAAGAAUUCCAAAUACAUCAACCUGACCCUUUUAGAUUUACAGCCCUGGUUACACUCUGCCUGAACACAAAUUCUAGCUUUUGUGAUAACUCAGUUCAAAAGCAAAAGUCUGCCUAUGUAUUCAGAGGCAAGUAAACUGUUUCUACAACAUACAAGUAGCCAAAAGACUAUAUUAAAAGAAUACACUGAAGUGUAGCCAGUAGUGCAAGUCUUAAGGACUCGUGUUUAAAAUACAGUUGUGUGCAUCUGUAUAUGUGAUUCAGUUAUUCGCCUUAUUUAAUGCUAAAGAUAGAUCAGUUAUUGCCAUGCUGAAUUUUAUAUUUGCAAUUACACAGAUCUCUGGAAUAGCCUUUGCUGACAAAAGGCUUAGAUUUUAUAUUAAAAUUUCCAUUUUAGUUCUUGGAAAACAUAUAAUAUAAAGGGAAGGACAAAACAUUCGCUUUGCAGCAGCUGCCACUGUUGCACAAGCAAAUGCCACCUGCAGUAUCCGACCUUGUUUUCUCAUUUAAUUUCCCUCAGUGCAUGUGAACUUACACAAAGAUAGGCCCCACUAGCAAACAAACUACAUUAAAAUGCUGUGUCUAACCAUGGUGUCAUUUUAAUCAGCAACUGAAUAAUUCCUGGGGGCAGAAUUGGAAUAUGUAUAUAUAUAUAUAUAUACACAUAUAGUUCCCAUAAUACUUUCACUGUUUCAUUCAACUCUCAAACACAGAAACUAAAGAAGCAGAGUCCUUAAACCAUUCAGUUGAACUUACGUUAUUUUAAAGUGUGCUGGAGAUCUUUUAAGAAUAUGAUCUCAUUUGCCUGAGUUAGUGCCAGAGAUGAAAUAAGACCAUUCAGCUCAGAACUGUGCAUAUAUGAGUUUUUUUUCCAUGAAAAUUGAUUUCAUGUGGAAAAAAAAAAAAAGAUCUGUGCCACAAUCCAAUUUGGGGAUUAAGAGGAUUUCUAUUUCUUUUAUUCAUAAUGCACUCUGUUGCUUAUAGAUGCCUAGGACUUUCCCAGGAAGAGAGAAAAUGUCAUGAAAUUACAUCAGAAAUAGGUUUAUAAUGCACAUACAUGCCUGAUUAUGGCUACCUUCAUUAUUGCAGGAUUCCAUCAGCAUCCAAAUUAGUAAUAUUUACUGUAUCCACUCUAGAGAUACAUCUGCAUGUAUACUUGUAUUAUAUAUACUUAGCAAUGUCUUCAUAGUACUGUGUUAAUUAUAUAUUUUUUCUAUCUUUUUCACCACUGAGUUUCUACUUAACCUUCUCAUCUAUUUCUAGAAACCUAGAUAUAACCAGACUGAUGUGCUGAUGACAAAAGAGGGGAGGAGCAAUACAGUCCGAGUACUGCCUGGCUUAUCCAAGCAGCAGCUGAGACGUGAACAGAAACUGGAAAAUGUCACUUAACACUUAAGCUGGUGUUAAGGGAGUAGCAAACAGCUGAGAUAAAUGGAAGACUUUCUGCACAAACACCACUUAACUUACAUAAGAAACACCUAAAUCACAUCUUGUUAAGUUAGCUUCAAAUAACGACAUCCUUAUUUUCUUACAAAACGACUCUAUCAAAAUGAAUUUUGAUACAUCAGCAUAUCCUGAUUAAUCUUUUGAGUUGGACUUCCCUUUGUUAUAUUGAAUGUAACUGGAGAGAAUGUUUCAUUGCUGCAGCAAUUCAGGUGCCUACAAAAGAAGCUGAUUAUUUUAACUUCAAAAGGCAAUUUAUGGGGCAGCCCUCAAAUCCUGUAAAUCAGAGGCAUUGUACUUCUAAAAGACUUUCUUUAUUGACCUUAAAAUUGAUUAUUUUCUGAAAUACUUUUACCUCAAUGUUUUAUACUGUCUGUCAACCUCAGCUGGGGCUGAUUAAUAUUUAAUACGAAGCUGCAUAAAUCUGUGACUUUACAUCAGUGUAACUCAGAAAUUUCCAGCUCUGCCUCAAAAGCAGGUAGGCUUCCACAGCUUAAUUUAUUAUUUGGAUCUCAUUCAAAAGAGAUUGUAUAAUAAUUCUGGGAAGCAAAACCCAAAGCCUUAGGUUUUCUGGAGCCCUCCUUCAGUCGUUACCUCAGCAGAUUUCAGCUACUUUUCAUUAAAAAAUAAAAUAAAUAAAUACAU
This is a non-coding RNA of Coturnix japonica (Japanese quail), 4309 nucleotides long. NCBI's taxonomy places the organism in Eukaryota, Metazoa, Chordata, Aves, Galliformes, Phasianidae. The record is from RefSeq and is a predicted model, not a curated record.